RNAcentral lists this ribosomal RNA (497 nucleotides) under uncultured bacterium. RNAcentral describes it as "partial 16S ribosomal RNA". It matches the Rfam family "Bacterial small subunit ribosomal RNA", at positions 28 to 507 of the family's 1533-position model. The record is from RNAcentral.
GAUGAACGCUGGCGGCGUGCCUAAUACAUGCAAGUCGAACGCUGAAGGCAGGAGCUUGCUCUUUCCGGAUGAGUUGAGAACGGGUGAGUAACGCGUAGGUAACCUGCCUGGUAGCGGGGGAUAACUAUUGGAAACGAUCGCUAAUACCGCAUAACAGUAGAUGUUGCAUGAUAUCUACUUAAAAGGUGCAAUUGCACCACUACCAGAUGGACCUGCGUUGUAUUGGCUAGUUGGUGAGGUAACGGCGCAUCAAGGCGACGUUACAUAGCCGACCUGAGAGGGUGGUCAGCCAGACUGGGACGGUGACACGCCCCAGUGGCCUUCAGGAGGCAGCAGUAGGGAAUCGGCGGCAAGGGGCGGAGGUCUGAGCGAACAGCGCGGCAGGAGUAAAGAAGGAUUUCGGGUCGGAAAUCACUGUUGUAAGAGAAGAACGAGUGUUAGAGUGGAAAGUUCACACUGUGACGGUAACUUAUCAGAAAGGGACGGCUAACUACGUG